This 83-nucleotide transfer RNA is filed under the name Schistocephalus solidus. It matches the Rfam family "tRNA". From Rfam's summary of the family: Transfer RNA (tRNA) molecules are approximately 80 nucleotides in length. Lineage: Eukaryota; Metazoa; Platyhelminthes; Cestoda; Diphyllobothriidea; Diphyllobothriidae. The record is from Rfam by way of RNAcentral.
GGUCUCGUAGCUCAGUUGGCUAGAGCGUUGGUUGUACUAAAGCCUUCCCCUUGCUGGCGUGGGUUCAAAUCCCACCGAGGCCG